Molecule: long non-coding RNA, 201 nt
Filed under: Brassica napus (rape)
Lineage: Eukaryota; Viridiplantae; Streptophyta; Magnoliopsida; Brassicales; Brassicaceae
Description: long non-coding RNA (BNAP_LNC013726)
Source: RNAcentral
AAAAUAUGCACAUAGUACAUAAUAUUAAGUAGUAUCAAAAUAGAAUAGUAACAAACGAAAUAACAUAAUACACAUUAUUUAAAUUUUUAAAUAUUUAUGAUUGCAGGGAGUGAGGUAGUGCUUACCCCAACAUCAACCCAAACCUACAACAAACUAAACCUAAAACACUAAUCACUAAACCCUAAAAAGAAAUAUAAACCC